RNAcentral lists this long non-coding RNA (406 nucleotides) under Podarcis lilfordi (Lilford's wall lizard). The record is from RNAcentral. Lineage: Eukaryota; Metazoa; Chordata; Lepidosauria; Squamata; Lacertidae.
AAAAUGUUUUAUUUUUAAUUUGCAAAGGAACAAGACCAUCAACCACCCGCUCAUCCUUUGGGGCAUCGCCUUCUCCUAAGGUUCCAGCAGAAAUCCGAAAGGGCUCAUAGAUGUCUUUCCUUGCUUAUGCUGUAGAAGUAGCAAUUUAUAAAGUGAUGUCAGCUGAAAAAGGGUGUUGCUUGAACAUAACUAAUAAUCUAAACAAGGUCAGACAGCUUCCGUAAUAGAGUUCACCCUACGUCUGGUUAACAUAGCAGCUGUGAUAAAUAUAUUGUAGCAGGUUAAUAGUGAACAUUGUUGAAAUGUAUAAAUGCUUGCAAAGCAUCUGUAGCUUUAUUUAGACUAAGAUAUGUGCCUAUUUUGUUAUAUGUUGGUACUGAAUAAUAAAGCACUUGUGAACACCUGC